AAAGGGCGCCGUGGUC
Molecule: unclassified non-coding RNA, 16 nt
Filed under: synthetic construct
Description: 5'-R(*AP*AP*AP*GP*GP*GP*CP*GP*CP*CP*GP*UP*GP*GP*UP*C)-3' from synthetic construct (PDB 4BWM, chain G)
Source: RNAcentral